This is a long non-coding RNA of Musca domestica (house fly), 760 nucleotides long. RefSeq lists it as uncharacterized. The record is from RefSeq and is a predicted model, not a curated record. The transcript has 3 exons. Lineage: Eukaryota; Metazoa; Arthropoda; Insecta; Diptera; Muscidae.
UAAACUGAUGACUAUGAAUUCAGUCAUAUUUUUGUCCAACGGCUUAGAGAGACACAAGAACAAACCAAAGAAAAAAAUCGUUAGAAAAGUGAAAAAAUAUAAUAACCCAAUAAUUAUGCUAAAUUAAUAGUGCAUAUACAUAAAAGUCCUUUUAUAUUGGCUUUAGUCUUCGCCUGGCUUCUUUGUCAUUUUGCCUACAAGUGCAUCUCUCUUUUAAUUUAGGUAACUUUUUGUUUCUGUCGUUCCGUUAACCACACGUUGUCAUAGUCUUCAGUUGCAAAUAUAACAGCUUUUUACAGUUUGACAAGCUUGGAUUGAUGUCAUUUGGCGCAAAACUUUUAGCAAUGAAAAAAAUGUGUUAUUGUCAAUUUUUUUCGUAAUUUCGGCCAUCUAAACCGUGUAAUAGACAAAGAGAUAGAUUACUGCCUGUGAUACAUAGCUCACGAACCAAUAUUGAAUAUCAUAAGAAGUCAUAUGUAUUGGAUAUCAUUCAUGUAGCGAAGACAACAUUAGCUCCAUCGAUGUAACCAGAAAUUAAUUUUGCACAUAAUUUUGGAAGAAAAUGGGAGAUCUAUUUCUAGUUUGUCUGGAGGGUUACUGCUUGUGAUACAUAGCCCCCGGACUAAUAUUGCAUUUCAUAAGAAGGAACAUGUUUUGGGUAUGUUACAUGUAGAGAAAACUACAAUUAGCCCCACCGAUGGAACCAGAAAUGAAUUUUCUGAUAAUUUUGGCGAAUAUUGGGAUAUUUAUUUCAGUUUGC